UUCUCGAUGGCCGAGACAGGCAUUAAGCUUUUAACUUAACCACAGUACUAAUACUUCGAGAAC
This 63-nucleotide transfer RNA is filed under the name Venustaconcha ellipsiformis. Its description in RNAcentral is "tRNA-Lys". Lineage: Eukaryota; Metazoa; Mollusca; Bivalvia; Unionida; Unionidae. The record is from RNAcentral.